Molecule: long non-coding RNA, 432 nt
Organism: Aethina tumida (small hive beetle)
Lineage: Eukaryota; Metazoa; Arthropoda; Insecta; Coleoptera; Nitidulidae
Exons: 2
Source: RefSeq, a predicted model, not a curated record
CUAAAAAGGGCGAUCGUUCCCAAUACAAGUAGUGCUACUCCUAUUGAGACAAAAAUAGAUUUUCUAAAACAAAAUAUUUAUUUGCUUCAGUCCAACAUCACUUGGGAUAUACGAUAAGGAGUCUGAAAUAUUUGUCAUCAUGAUAGCACCUUAAAUUAGUGAAUCUGAAAACGAUAAUGGUUUUGACAGGUUUACGAAUCGAUGGUCAGAGAAGCGUACAGGAAUGCAAAAGAAUGCUCAGCUGAAUGACGGGAUACCACAAUAUUAUUGUUGUAGUUUUUCCGUGUUUAAUAGAUGUCGUGUGUAUUGUUUAUUAUUUAAAAUUGAUCCCAACAGUUCUAAUUCUCUUUUUACAUACUAAUUAAAGUCUCUAAAAUUCGAAUGCUAUUGUCGUCUAAAAUGUUUUCAAACAAUAAAAUAAGGUAGUCAGAA